UCUGAGACAGUCAUGGCUCACUCUCUUGACAGCUGUUUGACAUUACGGGUAAUGCUGCGUUCAACGGAUGGAGAGGGACUGUGAAUUCCUGGAGGAAGACUCAGGAGUCGGGACAGUGCAUGCAGCCAUGUGAAAACCAAUGAGAUGUUACCAUCCACAAAAUUUUCUCUGCCUGCCUGUAGUGAGCGCAAUGAAGGAUUUCAAGUGUUUCCUCACUUUGUGCGCCAUCCAGAGAUCUUUCAGACCAUUCCCUUCAAUCAUCCUAUAAUCAAACCUCUGAGAAAAAGUCAGGCCAAGAUAAGCCCUUCACUCAGCGUUGCCGUUUGUAUUAAUCACUUUCUUCACAUGGGUGAAACUGCUUACCCACCAGCUGAAAUGAAAAGGAUGGCUAUGAUUUCACAUGAGUGCUACAGGUUAAUACGAGAAAAGAAACUUUAAAGAAUACUUCCCAGUGCCACAAAUCAGCUCGCAACAACUAAGUCCCUGGAGCCAGAAUUCCUGACUCUCCUCAAAGAGGGCCAACAGAAACAGAGGAGGCAAGACAGCAAGGCCACUUGUGAGAAGAGUGACAUGCAUACCACCAUGUUACAAUCUGAUUCUUUUGGCAUGCCUCAACAGCAUCAGUGUACCAUGUGUUAUCUCCUCGCCUCACAAACAGUUAUUGUGUUUUAUAGAACGUGCCAUCUGGACGGGCACAGAGACCUAAGAGAAAAAACGAAUAUGCCCCUGCCAAAAUAAAUACCACACACACACAGACACAUGGUCUGGACAUGCAUUGAGCUGAAUAGGAUGGAGCAGAGGUGCCACUACAACAAGGGCAGGGCAUUGGGGGACCCAAGCUGGAGAGCAAAGCAUGUGAAACAUUCAGAGUCUGAUUUCCCCAACACCCUCACAAAGCAUUACCUCUGACCACCUAGAAAGAAAGCAAAUGGGACGCAUUAGCGGCGGAAAACUGAGCGGCUUGUUCAUAAUUCAAUAAAAUGGAUGGAUUUGAUUAUUCCCUUCCAAAAAAGAGGGAAAAGCAAGUUUUUCUUCAAGCCAAGUAUUAAUCACACUGUCAGAAGUCCUUAUUCGUUGUCGGCAUUUCGUGUGGUUAAAACUAUGGAAGCUCAUUUCUGGUACAGUGUGAAAA
Molecule: long non-coding RNA, 1132 nt
Organism: Puntigrus tetrazona (Sumatra barb)
Lineage: Eukaryota; Metazoa; Chordata; Actinopteri; Cypriniformes; Cyprinidae
Exons: 3
Source: RefSeq, a predicted model, not a curated record